AGAGUUUGAUCAUAGCUCAGGAUGAACGCUGGCGGCGUGCUUAACACAUGCAAGUCGAACGGAGUAAUAUGAAGCCCUCGGGCGGAUUAUUACUUAGUGGCGGACGGGUGAGUAACGCGUGGGUAACCUACCUCAUACAGGGGGAUAACAGUUGGAAACGACUGCUAAAACCGCAUAACAAGUUGAGACCGCAUGAUCUUAACUUCAAAUAUUUAUAGGUAUGAGAUGGGCCCGCGUCUGAUUAGCUAGUUGGUGGGGUAAUGGCCUACCAAGGCAACGAUCAGUAGCCGGCUUGAGAGAGUGACCGGCCACAUUGGGACUGAGACACGGCCCAAACUCCUACGGGAGGCAGCAGUGGGGAAUAUUGGACAAUGGGGGCAACCCUGAUCCAAGCGACGCCGCGUGAGUGAAGAAGUAUUUCGGUAUGUAAAGCUCUAUCAGCAGGGAAGAUAAUGACAGUACCUGACUAAGAAGCCCCGGCUAACUACGUGCCAGCAGCCGC
Molecule: ribosomal RNA, 502 nt
Filed under: uncultured bacterium
Lineage: Bacteria
Description: bacterial SSU rRNA
Rfam family: Bacterial small subunit ribosomal RNA
Source: RNAcentral